RNAcentral lists this ribosomal RNA (225 nucleotides) under uncultured bacterium. RNAcentral describes it as "partial 16S ribosomal RNA". It matches the Rfam family "Bacterial small subunit ribosomal RNA", at positions 111 to 334 of the family's 1533-position model. The record is from RNAcentral.
AGACGCGUGAGGAACCUGCCUCAAAGAGGGGGACAACAGUUGGAAACGACUGCUAAUACCGCAUAAGCCCACGGGUCGGCAUCGACCUGAGGGAAAAGGAGCAAUCCGCUUUGAGAUGGCCUCGCGUCCGAUUAGCUAGUUGGUGAGGUAACGGCCCACCAAGGCGACGAUCGGUAGCCGGACUGAGAGGUUGAACGGCCACAUUGGGACUGAGACACGGCCCAG